CCUACGGGCGGCAGCAGUGGGGAAUAUUGCGCAAUGGGCGAAAGCCUGACGCAGUGACGCCGCGUGAGGGAUGAAGGUCUUCGGAUCGUAAACCUCUGUCAGCAGGGAAGAACGGUCACUGUGCUAAUCAGCAGUGAAUUGACGGUACCUGCAAAGGAAGCACCGGCUAACUCCGUGCCAGCAGCCGCGGUAAUACGGAGGGUGCGAGCGUUAAUCGGAAUUACUGGGCGUAAAGCGCUCGUAGGCGGUAUGUCAAGUCAAGGGUGAAAUCCCCGCGCUCAACGUGGGAACUGCCUUUGAAACUGGCAAACUGGAGUGUGUGGGAGGAUAGUGGAAUGCCAGGUGUAGGAGUGAAAGCCGUAGAGAUCUGGAGGAACAUCAGUGGCGAAGGCGACUAUCUGGCACAUAACUGACGCUGAGGAGCGAAAGCGUGGGUAGCAAACAGGAUUAGAUACCCUGGUAGUC
This 465-nucleotide ribosomal RNA is filed under the name uncultured bacterium. RNAcentral's name for it is "partial 16S ribosomal RNA". It matches the Rfam family "Bacterial small subunit ribosomal RNA", at positions 338 to 795 of the family's 1533-position model. The record is from RNAcentral.